AAUUAAUGAGCUUGAAUAAAAGCAUUUGUUUUGAAAACUUAAGAAAGAAAUCUAAUUUCUAUUAAUUU
Molecule: transfer RNA, 68 nt
Filed under: Cheumatopsyche brevilineata
Lineage: Eukaryota; Metazoa; Arthropoda; Insecta; Trichoptera; Hydropsychidae
Description: tRNA-Ser
Source: RNAcentral